GAUCCUGGCUCAGGAUGAACGCUAGCUACAGGCUUAACACAUGCAAGUCGCGGGGCAGCACUGGGGUUGCUCGCAACCCCUGGUGGCGACCGGCGCACGGGUGCGUAACGCGUAUCCAACCUGCCCCACAGCGGGGCAUAGCCCGGCGAAAGUCGGAUUAAUGCCCCAUGUUCUCCGCGGCGGGCAUCUAAUGCGGAGCAAAGGCCUUUUUGGCCGCUAUGGGAUGGGGAUGCGUACGAUUAGCUUGACGGCGGGGUGACGGCCCACCGUGGCGACGAUCGUUAGGGGUUCUGAGAGGAAGGUCCCCCACACUGGUACUGAGACACGGACCAGACUCCUACGGGAGGCAGCAGUGAGGAAUAUUGGUCAAUGGCCGAGGGGCUGAACCAGCCAAGUAGCGUGCGGGACGACGGCCCUACGGGUUGUAAACCGCUUUUCCGCGGGGAUAAAGUGCUCCACUUGUGGGGCAUUGCAGGUACCGCGUGAAUAAGGACCGGCUAAUUCCGUGCC
RNAcentral lists this ribosomal RNA (510 nucleotides) under uncultured bacterium. Its description in RNAcentral is "bacterial SSU rRNA". It matches the Rfam family "Bacterial small subunit ribosomal RNA", at positions 15 to 509 of the family's 1533-position model. The record is from RNAcentral.